AUGGAGACGGUGGAGGAGGACGUGGAGGAGUACAGUUGGAGGGAGGUGGUGCUGCCGCGCCUCAUCCCGGUCGUCCCCCACGCCGCGCCGGAGCUCGAGCGCGAGACCGGGGAGCGCCGCCGCGGCAGGGACCUGCUCGUCGCCAUCGACUUCGGCCCCAACUCCAGGCACGCCUUCCGCUGGGCGCUCGCCCACCUCGCGCGCAUCGCCGACACCCUCCACCUCGUCCACGCCGUCUCCAGUGUGCAUAAUGAUCUGGUAUACAACAAAAGUCAGGAACUAAUGGAUGAGUUGGCCGUCGAGGCAUUCAAGGAGUCACUGGUCCACACCAAGGCACGGAUUGUUGAAGGGGAUGCUGGAAAGGUUAUUUGCCGAGAAGCAGAGCGACUGAAGCCAGCAGCCGUCAUUAUUGGCACACGUGGUCGAAGCCUUAUUCAGAGUGUGUUGCAGGGAAGUGUCAGUGAGUAUUGCUUCCACAACUGUAAAGCAGCACCAGUUAUCAUUGUCCCAGGCAAAGAAGCUGGUGAACAGUCUGUGCUUUAA
RNAcentral lists this ribosomal RNA (543 nucleotides) under Triticum aestivum (bread wheat). Its description in RNAcentral is "partial small subunit ribosomal RNA". Lineage: Eukaryota; Viridiplantae; Streptophyta; Magnoliopsida; Poales; Poaceae. The record is from RNAcentral.